This 557-nucleotide small RNA is filed under the name Arabidopsis thaliana (thale cress). Its description in RNAcentral is "ATSL285700". Lineage: Eukaryota; Viridiplantae; Streptophyta; Magnoliopsida; Brassicales; Brassicaceae. The record is from RNAcentral.
GUGUCCCAACUGAUGAUAGCCGAAUCUUCCAUUUUAGGAGACUUUAAAAGAUUAAAUUCUAAGCUGAAAGUGCGGAUGAAGUAAUAUAAAUUGCAAGGAAGAAAAGACACAAGAAUUUUGUUAACGAGAUUCGGUUUUUCCUACUUUCCGGGAGAAGUUUAGAUUCAAUUUCAGUAGAAUAAUAAAACAAAUUACAACAAAUUUGCAAACGCGUAAAAUAAGCACAAAUCUCUUGAUUUACCGCUCUCUUUUAAAACGUGAAACCUUAAAGAUAAUUUUUACUCUUAAUUAAAUUCCUUCAAAAUCUAGAUUUAAUCAGGAUAACACCUAACCCUGAACUAAACUAUCCUUAAAUCUAGACUUCAAAGCAAAACCACUUGAUCACACAAGCACAAACCCGCAAAACUAAGUUGCACACAAUCUUACAGAAAGUUCUCAAAGAUUUCUUCUUUAUAUCUCAGCUCUCUUGCUUCUUCAAAACGUCUCCAGCUUCUCCGUAUAUAUCCAAAACGAUUUUUUAAUCAUUAUAGGAAAAGAUUUCCAAAUUCCAUAAGAAA